Molecule: ribosomal RNA, 254 nt
Filed under: uncultured bacterium
Lineage: Bacteria
Also listed under: 1 other name
Description: partial 16S ribosomal RNA
Rfam family: Archaeal small subunit ribosomal RNA
Source: RNAcentral
UACCGGCGGCUCGAGUGGUGGCCGCUUUUACUGGGCUUAAAGGGUCCGUAGCUUGAUUCACAAGUCCCUUGAGAAAUCCAUCGGCUUAACUGAUGGGCGUUCAGGGGAUACUGUGGUUCUAGGGACCGGGAGAGGUGAGAGGUACUGCCGGGGUAGGAGUGAAAUCCUGUAAUCCCGGUGGGACGACCUAUGGCGAAGGCAUCUCACCAGAACGGCUCCGACAGUGAGGGACGAAAGCUGGGGGAGCAAACCGG